AAUCCAGACUCCUACGGGAGGCAGCAGUGGGGGAUAUUGCACAAUGGGGGGAACCCUGAUGCAGCGACGCCGCGUGGGUGAAGAAGCGCCUCGGCGCGUAAAGCCCUAUCGGCAGGGAAGAAGGAGGACGGUACCUGACUAAGAAGCCCCGGCUAACUACGUGCCAGCAGCCGCGGUAAUACGUAGGGGGCAAGCGUUAUCCGGAUUUACUGGGUGUAAAGGGGGCGCAGACGGCAGCGCAAGCCAGGAGUGGAAGCCCGGGGCCCAACCCCGGGACUGCUCUUGGAACUGCGCGGCUGGAGUGCAGGAGGGGCAGGCGGAAUUCCUGGUGUAGCGGUGAAAUGCGUAGAUAUCAGGAGGAACACCGGUGGCGAAGGCGGCCUGCUGGACGGCGACUGACGUUGAGGCCCGAAAGCGUGGGGAGCAAACAGGAUUAGAUACCCCGGUAUUA
RNAcentral lists this ribosomal RNA (451 nucleotides) under uncultured bacterium. RNAcentral's name for it is "partial 16S ribosomal RNA". It matches the Rfam family "Bacterial small subunit ribosomal RNA", at positions 328 to 795 of the family's 1533-position model. The record is from RNAcentral.